Molecule: ribosomal RNA, 119 nt
Filed under: Hucho hucho (huchen)
Lineage: Eukaryota; Metazoa; Chordata; Actinopteri; Salmoniformes; Salmonidae
Source: RNAcentral
ACUUACGGCCAUACCAUCCUGAAUACGCCUGAUCUCGUCUGAUCUCGGAAGCUAAGCAGGGUCCGGCCUGGUUAGUACUUGGAUGGGAGACCACCUGGGAAUACCAGGUGCAGUAAGUG